RNAcentral lists this unclassified non-coding RNA (1842 nucleotides) under Hevea brasiliensis (rubber tree). Lineage: Eukaryota; Viridiplantae; Streptophyta; Magnoliopsida; Malpighiales; Euphorbiaceae. The record is from RNAcentral.
GCCAUGGGGUUCAAUACAAUGCUAAUGAAACUUGCAUUGCCGGUGGUGAUUGUGGCAGCUGUGUCACCAUUAGCAACAGCUCAAGCCAAACCUGGCUGCCAGAGCCACUGCGGCAACAUUAGCAUCCCAUACCCCUUCGGCACAACCCAGGGUUGUUACAUGGAUGAACAAUUUCUCAUCACUUGUAACAACGCAACAAACCCUCCAAAACCAUUCUUAAACUUGAGCAAUAUCCCAGUCCUCGACAUUUCCCUCGAUGGCUAUUUGCGCAUCCUUGACUCAGUAUCCUACAAUUGCUACACCGAUAGCCCAUUGAGCAGACCCCUUUUUGAAUCUCCAUACUUCCCCAGGCAGUUGGAAUUUCCCAUAUCUAAUACUAAAAACAUGUUCACCCUUGUCGGUUGUAACACUGACGCAGAGAUUAUAGGUUUACCAAACAAAGAUCGGCUGACAGGAUGCAUGACUGUGUGUCUCAAUAAUUCCACAAACCUCAUGAAGAAUGGGGAAUGCUCCAACAUAGGCUGUUGCCAGAGCCCCCUUCCAAGAGGAAUGCGUGAUUAUUACAUAAACAUAGCUUUGUUUAACGACAGCAAGAUUCCUAAACUCUAUCCUUGUAAUUAUGCUUUUAUUGCGGAGGAUGGGGCUUACAAUUUCUCCUCUUCAGAUCUUGAUAAAAAUUUACAGAAUAUUACAGACCUCCCGAUGGUGCUUGAUUGGUCGAUCGGAAAUCAGACUUGCGAACAGGCCAAGAAGGAUCCUAAAACUUUUGCAUGCAAGGAGUUUAGCUAUUGUAUUGACUCGAAAAAUGGUUCAGGGUAUCGAUGCAAUUGUUCAGCAGGCUUUCAGGGAAACCCUUAUAUCCCUAACGGUUGCCAAGAUAUCGACGAGUGUGAAACUUUAAAACCUUGCAAUGGGACAUGCCACAAUGUUCCUGGCGGUUACAACUGCUCUUGUCCAGCAGGUUUUGAAGGCGACGGCAGGAAAGAUGGAACAGGCUGCAGUCUUCAACAAGUCAUGGCCAACCAUCAAUCCAAGAGGCUUCCUCAUAUCAUCACUGCACUAGGAAUCAGCAUAAGCCUUUUAGUUCUACUGCUGGGCAUUUCAUGGAUUUAUUUGGGACGAAAGCAGAGAAAGUUCAGAGAGCUCAAAGAAAAGUAUUUUUUACAAAAUGGGGGCAAUUUGCUAGAGCGAGAGCUUUCGAAACAUAAUGCGUCCAUUGAAACAGCUAAAAUAUUCACGGCAGAAGACCUCAAGAAGGCAACAAACAAUUAUGAUGAAAGCAGAAUUCUAGGCGAAGGAGGCCAAGGUAGAGUUUACAAAGGUAUUUUGCCUGACAAUCAAGUUAUUGCCAUCAAGAAAGCUAAAACAGUGGAUCAGAGCCAAGUUGAGAAGUUCAUUAAUGAAGUGAUAAUACUCUCCCAAAUUAACCAUAAAAAUGUGGUAAAACUCUUGGGAUGUUGUUUAGAAACUGAAGCUCCCUUGUUGGUCUAUGAAUUUGUGACUAACGGUACCCUUUUCGACCACCUGCUCAGAGCUGGCCGUGCAACCUUAAUUCCAUGGGAAACUCGUCUGAAAAUAGCCACAGAAACCGCUGGAGCCCUUUCAUACUUGCACUCUGCUGCUUCUACUCCAAUCAUUCACAGAGACAUCAAGCUUGCCAACAUACUCUUAGAUGAUAAUUACACAGCUAAAGUAUCUGAUUUUGGAGCUUCAAGGUUGAUCCCUUCGGACCAGACUCAAUUUACCACGCUAUUGCAAGGAACUCUGGGGUACUUGGAUCCUGAAUACCUGCAUACACACCAGUUGACUGUAAAGAGCGAUGUUUAUAGUUUUGGGGUUGUU